RNAcentral lists this ribosomal RNA (271 nucleotides) under uncultured bacterium. Its description in RNAcentral is "partial 16S ribosomal RNA". It matches the Rfam family "Bacterial small subunit ribosomal RNA", at positions 524 to 794 of the family's 1533-position model. The record is from RNAcentral.
UACGUAGGGUGCGAGCGUUAAUCGGAAUUACUGGGCGUAAAGCGUGCGCAGGCGGUGAUGUAAGACAGAUGUGAGAUGCCCGGGCUCAACCUGGGACCUGCAUUUGUGACUGCAUCGCUAGAGUACGGUAGAGGGGGAUGGAAUUCCGCGUGUAGCAGUGAAAUGCGUAGAUAUGCGGAGGAACACCGAUGGCGAAGGCAAUCCCCUGGGCCUGCACUGACGCUCAUGCACGAAAGCGUGGGGAGCAAACAGGAUUAGAAACCCCAGUAGU